Sapajus apella (tufted capuchin) is the source of this 2837-nucleotide RNA transcript. It is a transcript of the gene named zinc finger protein 888-like, with no coding region annotated. The record is from RefSeq and is a predicted model, not a curated record. The transcript has 4 exons. Lineage: Eukaryota; Metazoa; Chordata; Mammalia; Primates; Cebidae.
AUCUCUGCCCCAUGGGCUCAGACGAUCCUCCUACCUCAGCCUUCUAAGUAGCUGUUACUGCAAGGCAGGACUAAAAUGUGAGAUGUCCAGGUUUUUGGCUGUUGAACAUAGAAUUGAAGAAAAAAAAGAAAAAGGACCACAGACACAGACGUGCAUCACGCCUGGCUACGUUUUCUUGUUGUUGGUGGAGACAGGGUUUUAUUAUGGUGCCCAGGCUGGUCUCGGACUCCUGAGCUCAAGCGAUCCACCCGCCUUGGCCACCCACAGUGCUGGGAUGACAGGCGCGAGCUACUGUACCCAGCCUCUGCCUGGGCUUUGGUGAAGGCUGGGUCUGUGCCCUGAAGGGGAUCUCAUUCUAGCCCAGCUUCCCACUGAUGCAGUGUGUGUGUUGGGCUUCUCCAGGAGGGGAGUAGGUUCUGAAGAAAGGAUUCAAAAAUUCACUUAGUUUUCUUGUAGGAGUUUAUCAUCCCUGGUGCAGUGGGCAGACAAGGGGACCAUAUUUCCUCAGGGAUUGACUUCUAAUGACUCUUGAUACGUGAGGAAGAGCCCCGGAAGAGGAAGAGGAAAGCAAAGGAGUCAGGGAUGGCUCUUCCUCAGGGUCUGUUGACAUUCAGGGAUGUGGCCAUAGAAUUCUCUCAGGAGGAGUGGAAAUGCCUGGACCCUGCUCAGAAGACUUUACACAGGGACGUGAUGUUGGAGAAUUACAGGAACCUGGUCUCCCUGGAUACCUCUUCCAUAUGCAUGAUGAAGGGGUUCUCAUCCACAGAGCAAGGCAAUACAGAAGUAUUCCACACAGGGACAUUGCAAAGACAUGAAAGUCAUCACACUGGAGAUUUUUGCUUCCAGAAAACUGAGAAAAAUAUUCAUGACUUUGAGUUUCAGUGGCAAAAGGAUGAAAGAAAUAGUCGUGAAGUACUCAUGACGAAAAUCAAAAAGUUGACCGGUAGUAAAGACCGAUAUGAUGACAGGCCUUCUGGAAACAAGCCUAUUGAAGAUCAGCUUGGAUUAAGCUUUCAUUCACAUCUGUCUAACCUGCACAUAUUUCAGAAUGAAGGGAAUAUUGAUAAUCAACUAGAGAAGUCUUUAAAUGAUGUUUCCUUAAUUUCAACUUCCCCAAGAAGUUUUUGUAGGCCCAAAACCCAUAUUUCUAAUUACUGUAGAAAUAAUUUGCUUCAUUCAUUACUGACAGAAAGAGAGGAGGUACACGUGAGAGAAAAAUCUUUGCAAUGUAAUGAGAGUGGCAAAGCCUUUAAUUGUAGCUCACUCUUAAGGGAACAUCAGAUAAUCCAUUUAGGAGAGAAACGAUAUGAAUGUGAUAUAUGUGGGAAGGUCUUUAAUCAGAAGCGAUACAUCGAACGCCAUCGUAGAUGUCACACUGGUGAGAAACCUUACAAGUGUAAUGAAUGUGGCAAGAGCUUCUGUCACAUGUCAUAUCUUGUAUGCCAUCGUAGACUUCAUACUGGAGAGAAACCUUACAAAUGUAAUGAGUGUGGCAAGACAUUCCAUCAAAGUUCAGGCCUUCUAUUUCAUAAGAAAAUUCACACUGGAGAGAAACCUUACAAAUGUGAUGAAUGUGGCAAGGUUUUUAAUCAAAAAUCACACCUUACACGUCAUCAUAGACGUCAUACUGGAGAGAAACCUUACAGAUGUGAAGAAUGUGACAAAGUUUACACUCGCAAAUCAUACCUUGAAGUACAUAGGAGAAUUCAUACUGGAGAGAAACCAUAGAAAUGUAGCUUUUGUGACAAGGCUUUUGGGUGUGCUUCACAUCUGGCAUGGCAUAUUAGAAUCCACACUGGAGAAAAACCUUACGAGUGUAAUGAGUGUGGCAGAGCCUUUAGUGGACAGUCAGCACUUAUUCAUCAUCAAGCAAUCUACGGUAUAGGGAAACUUUUCUAAUGUAAUGACUGUCGCCAAGUCUUCAGUAACGCUACAACCAUUGCAAAUCAUUGGAAAAUCCAUAAUGAAGACAGAUCUUACAAGUGUAAGUGGUGUAGCAAAUUUUUCAAUCUUUCAUUCCUUGUCAUUCGUCAGUGAACUCAUACUGGAUAGAAACCGUAUAAAUGUAAUGAUUGUGGCAAGGUCUUCAGUCAGGCUUCAUCUUAUGCAAAACAUAGGAGAAUUCAUAGAGGAGGAAAACCUCACCAGUGUGAUAAUUGUGACAAAGCCUUUGUUUCACGUUCACACUUCGUUAGACAUCAGAGUAUCCAUACUGGACAGAAAUUCUACAAAUGUCAUAACUGUGGCAAAGUCUUCAGUCUGGGGUUACUCUUGCAGAACAUUGGAAAAUUCAUUCUUGAGAUGAAUUGUUCCAAAUGCAAUGUGUAUAGCAACCCAUCAAGCAUUAAUUGACAUUAACGUCAGUUCAGUAUCAAAUUGAGUUUGAGUUGACUUAACAUUGAGUUCAAGCAUUAACUGACAUUUUAAAGUGUUUAUGUUAAGAGGAUUAAGCCAGGCAUGGUGGCUUUUUAUGAGCAUUGUGUUGAAUGUAAAUCACAUUGGGCAAUAUAAUUAUUUAACAAUAUUUUUCCAAUCCAUCAAUAUGGGUUGUAUCUUUAUAUAUGUUUGUAAUCAAUAUUUGUAGAUUUCAAAGUACAAUCUUCUCAUCUUUUUACAUUUAUUCCUAAGUAUAUCUUACUUUAAGUCAUCUAGCACAUGGAAGUGUUUUCUUAAUUUUCUUUUAAAAUUGUUUAUUGUUAAUGUAUGGAAAUUCAGCUAAGUUUUGCUACUGAUAAUUGUAUUCUGCAAAUACACUGAAUGUAUUUAUUAGUUAUAGUGGUAUUUUGGUUGACUGAUUUUCUACACAGAAAACCAUGUCACUACGAACAUUAUUUACU